GAUUUCCACGAAGGAAAGUCCAUGGCAUGUGUUUCUCCUCAUAUGUUAUAUUGCAUGUAUGUACAUGCAUGUACAUACAUGCAUACAUACAGAUCAUGAUGACACAUACUAAGCUUU
This 117-nucleotide microRNA precursor is filed under the name Notamacropus eugenii (tammar wallaby). RNAcentral describes it as "miRNA (ENSMEUG00000017201.1)". The record is from RNAcentral. Lineage: Eukaryota; Metazoa; Chordata; Mammalia; Diprotodontia; Macropodidae.